This 405-nucleotide ribosomal RNA is filed under the name uncultured bacterium. Its description in RNAcentral is "partial 16S ribosomal RNA". It matches the Rfam family "Bacterial small subunit ribosomal RNA", at positions 28 to 526 of the family's 1533-position model. The record is from RNAcentral.
GAUGAACGCUGGCGGCGGGCCUAAUACAUGCAAGUCGAGCGAAGCGGGGACGGGGGAGUAAUACGUGGAUAACCUCCUCUAAGACUGGGAUUACUUCGGGAAACCGGAGCUAAACCGGAAACUGAAACAUGGAUCCACUCUGCAUUAGCUAGUUGGUAAGGUAACGGCUUACCAAGGCAACGAUGCAUAGCCGACCUGAGAGGAUGAUCGGCCACACUGGAACUGAGACACGGCCCAGACUCCUACGGGAGGCAGCAGUAGGGAAUCUUGCGCAAUGGGCGCAAGCCUGACGGAGCCACGCCGCGUGAGUGAUGAAGGUCUUCGGAGUGUAAAGCUCUGUUAUUAGGGAAGCGUUACCUGAUCAGAAAGCCCCGGCUAACUACGUGCCAGCAGCCGCGGUAAUAC